UUAUUAAUUUGUAAAUGGCUCCUCGUUUGGAGGAUUAAAUACAGCUUUCUUGUUAAAGCAAUCUAUGGUGGCGUGAUAUGCUGCUAGCCAAUCCAUUCCUAAGAUUACAUCAAAAUUCUCCGUGUCUAAUCCUAUCAGGUCUACCCUCAGUUUCCUAUUUGCUAUCUCCACGGCACAAGCCCUAUAGAUAGCUUCCCCUAGUAGUGUUUCACCCCCGGCAGUAGACACAAACAACAAUGAUUCAAGUUUAUCAGGUGAUACAUUAAUUUUGGAAGCAAAAACAUGUGAAACAUAGGAGUGCGAUGCACCAGUGUCAAAUAAAACAUGAGCAAUGUGGUCACAGAUAGUAUACAUACCCUAUACUACAUCCGGGUCAGCGUCGGCAUCCUGCUGGGUAAGGUUGUAAGCUCUGCCCUAGAUAGGAGGCCUCCCUUGAUUCUUGUUCCUCGGGCAUUCUCUGACAUAAUGCUGGGCACUGCCACAAAUGCGACAAGUAAAUAAAUAUAUUGCAAAUAAAGGAAGCCACUUGUCCAUUUCAUGCACAAUCUAUCCAUUUCUUUGGAAAAAAAUUAUUUAACUUUUAUAUCGGAGAACUAAAUAUGUAAGAAGCUGGAAAUAAAAUAGUUCAUCUUUAUGUACUCAAACCUAAAGAAAAUUUGAUCUCGUCUAUUAUAAGACAUCAAACUUCUAUCUUUGUAUUAGUUGCAGCUAAUUAUAGUCGCCAUCAAUCGUAUCUCAUUAUUUAUUAAAGCAUCAGUUCUCCUGAUCAAUUGUCAAAUCACUAUAUUUUUAGCAGCAAAUGUGCGCCAUUUGAUUCAUUCAUUUGUAUGAGAUUAAAUAAUUCAUUCA
This 849-nucleotide long non-coding RNA is filed under the name Carica papaya (papaya). Its description in RNAcentral is "long non-coding RNA (CPAP_LNC006674)". Lineage: Eukaryota; Viridiplantae; Streptophyta; Magnoliopsida; Brassicales; Caricaceae. The record is from RNAcentral.